Molecule: ribosomal RNA, 855 nt
Filed under: Pseudomonas syringae pv. actinidiae ICMP 19096
Lineage: Bacteria; Pseudomonadati; Pseudomonadota; Gammaproteobacteria; Pseudomonadales; Pseudomonadaceae
Description: bacterial LSU rRNA
Rfam family: Bacterial large subunit ribosomal RNA
Source: RNAcentral
AGACCCCGUGAACCUUUACUAUAGCUUUGCACUGGACUUUGAAUUUGCUUGUGUAGGAUAGGUGGGAGGCUUUGAAGCGUGGACGCCAGUCUGCGUGGAGCCAACCUUGAAAUACCACCCUGGCAACUUUGAGGUUCUAACUCAGGUCCGUUAUCCGGAUCGAGGACAGUGUAUGGUGGGUAGUUUGACUGGGGCGGUCUCCUCCUAAAGAGUAACGGAGGAGUACGAAGGUGCGCUCAGACCGGUCGGAAAUCGGUCGUAGAGUAUAAAGGCAAAAGCGCGCUUGACUGCGAGACAGACACGUCGAGCAGGUACGAAAGUAGGUCUUAGUGAUCCGGUGGUUCUGUAUGGAAGGGCCAUCGCUCAACGGAUAAAAGGUACUCCGGGGAUAACAGGCUGAUACCGCCCAAGAGUUCAUAUCGACGGCGGUGUUUGGCACCUCGAUGUCGGCUCAUCACAUCCUGGGGCUGAAGCCGGUCCCAAGGGUAUGGCUGUUCGCCAUUUAAAGUGGUACGCGAGCUGGGUUUAGAACGUCGUGAGACAGUUCGGUCCCUAUCUGCCGUGGACGUUUGAGAUUUGAGAGGGGCUGCUCCUAGUACGAGAGGACCGGAGUGGACGAACCUCUGGUGUUCCGGUUGUCACGCCAGUGGCAUUGCCGGGUAGCUAUGUUCGGAAAAGAUAACCGCUGAAAGCAUCUAAGCGGGAAACUUGCCUCAAGAUGAGAUCUCACUGGAACCUUGAGUUCCCUGAAGGGCCGUCGAAGACUACGACGUUGAUAGGUUGGGUGUGUAAGCGCUGUGAGGCGUUGAGCUAACCAAUACUAAUUGCCCGUGAGGCUUGACCAUAUAACACCCA